RNAcentral lists this transfer RNA (58 nucleotides) under Cricetulus griseus (Chinese hamster). It matches the Rfam family "tRNA", at positions 8 to 63 of the family's 71-position model. Rfam says of the family: Transfer RNA (tRNA) molecules are approximately 80 nucleotides in length. Their secondary structure includes four short double-helical elements and three loops (D, anti-codon, and T loops). Further hydrogen bonds mediate the characteristic L-shaped molecular structure. tRNAs have two regions of fundamental functional importance: the anti-codon, which is responsible for specific mRNA codon recognition, and the 3' end, to which the tRNAs corresponding amino acid is attached (by aminoacyl-tRNA synthetases). tRNAs cope with the degeneracy of the genetic code in two manners: having more than one tRNA (with a specific anti-codon) for a particular amino acid; and 'wobble' base-pairing, i.e. permitting non-standard base-pairing at the 3rd anti-codon position. The record is from Rfam by way of RNAcentral. Lineage: Eukaryota; Metazoa; Chordata; Mammalia; Rodentia; Cricetidae.
UAGCUCAGUUGGUAGAGCAUGAGACUCUUAAUCUCAGGGUCAUGAGUUCGUGCCCCAU